AUACGGAGGGUGCAAGCGUUAUUCGGAAUCACUGGGCGUAAAGGACGCGUAGGCGGGUUGGCAAGUCAGAUGUGAAAUCCUACAGCUUAACUGUAGAACUGCAUUUGAAACUGCUAACCUAGAGUAUGGAAGGGGGAGAUGGAAUUAGUGGUGUAGGGGUAAAAUCCGUAGAUAUCACUAGGAAUACCGAAAGCGAAGGCGAUCUCCUGGAACAUAACUGACGCUAAGGCGUGAAAGCGUGGGGAGCAAACAGGAUUAGAAACCCUAGUAGUCC
RNAcentral lists this ribosomal RNA (274 nucleotides) under uncultured bacterium. RNAcentral's name for it is "partial 16S ribosomal RNA". It matches the Rfam family "Bacterial small subunit ribosomal RNA", at positions 523 to 796 of the family's 1533-position model. The record is from RNAcentral.